RNAcentral lists this ribosomal RNA (484 nucleotides) under uncultured bacterium. RNAcentral describes it as "partial 16S ribosomal RNA". It matches the Rfam family "Bacterial small subunit ribosomal RNA", at positions 30 to 507 of the family's 1533-position model. The record is from RNAcentral.
AUUGAACGCUGGCGGCAGGCCUAACACAUGCAAGUCGAGCGGAUGAAGGGAGCUUGCUCCUGGAUUCAGCGGCGGACGGGUGAGUAAUGCCUAGGAAUCUGCCUGGUAGUGGGGGAUAACGUCCGGAAACGGGCGCUAAUACCGCAUACGUCCUGAGGGAGAAAGUGGGGGAUCUUCGGACCUCACGCUAUCAGAUGAGCCUAGGUCGGAUUAGCUAGUUGGUGGGGUAAAGGCCUACCAAGGCGACGAUCCGUAGCUGGUCUGAGAGGAUGAUCAGUCACACUGGAACGUGGACACGGUCCAGACUCCUACGGGAGGCAGCAGUGGGGAAUAUUGGACAAUGGGCGAAAGCCUGAUCCAGCCAUGCCGCGUGUGUUAAGAAGGUCUUCGGAUUGUAAAGCACGUUAAGUUGGGAGGAAGGGCAGUAAGUUAAGACCUUGCUGUUUUGACGUUACCAACAGAAGAAGCACCGGCUAACUUCGUG